This 737-nucleotide ribosomal RNA is filed under the name uncultured soil bacterium. Its description in RNAcentral is "bacterial SSU rRNA". It matches the Rfam family "Bacterial small subunit ribosomal RNA", at positions 8 to 787 of the family's 1533-position model. The record is from RNAcentral.
AGAGUUAGAUCCUGGCUCAGGAUGAACGCUGGCGGUCUGCUUAACACAUGCAAGUCGAACGGGACUCGAUUGAGUUCAGUGGCGGACGGGUGAGUAACGCGUGAGAAUCUGCCUAGAGGUUGGGGACAACCACUGGAAACGGUGGCUAAGACCCAAUGUGCCGCAACGUGAAAGAUUUAUCGCCUCUAGAUGAGCUCGCGUCUGAUUAGCUAGUUGGUGAGGUAAAAGCUCACCAAGGCGACGAUCAGUAGCUGGUCUGAGAGGAUGACCAGCCACACUGGGACUGAGACACGGCCCAGACUCCUACGGGAGGCAGCAGUGGGGAAUUUUCCGCAAUGGGCGAAAGCCUGACGGAGCAAGACCGCGUGAGGGAGGAAGGCUCUUGGGUUGUAAACCUCUUUUCUCAGGGAAGAACACAAUGACGGUACCUGAGGAAUCAGCCUCGGCUAACUCCGUGCCAGCAGCCGCGGUAAUACGGAGGAGGCAAGCGUUAUCCGGAAUUAUUGGGCGUAAAGCGUCCGUAGGUGGUCAUGUAAGUCGGUCGUCAAAGCACAGGGCUUAACCCUGUAAUGGCGGUGGAAACUGCACGACUAGAGAGAGGUAGGGGUAGAGGGAAUUCCCAGUGUAGCGGUGAAAUGCGUAGAGAUUGGGAAGAACAUCGGUGGCGAAAGCGCUCUACUGGACCUGAUCUGACGCUGAUGGACGAAAGCUAGGGGAGCGAAUGGGAUUAGAUACCC